AUUGAACGCUGGCGGCAUGCCUAACACAUGCAAGUCGAACGGCAGCAUGAAAUGGGUAACCAUUUUGAUGGCGAGUGGCGGACGGGUGAGUAAUACGUAGGAAUCUACCUAGAGGUAGGGGAUAACUUAGGGAAACUUAAGCUAAUACCAUAUAAGCCCCAAGGGGGAAAGCAGGGGAUCUUCGGACCUUGCGCCUUAUGAUGAGCCUACGUCGGAUUAGCUUGUUGGUGGGGUAAAGGCCUACCAAGGCGACGAUCCGUAGCUGGUCUGAGAGGAUGAUCAGCCACACUGGGACUGAGACAUGGCCCAGACUCCUACGGGAGGCAGCAGUGGGGAAUAUUGGACAAUGGGGGGAACCCUGAUCCAGCAAUGCCGCGUGUGUGAAGAAGGCCUUAGGGUUGUAAAGCACUUUCAGUGGGGAGGAAGGUUGUAGUGUUAAUACCAUUGCAACUUGACGUUACCCACAGAAGAAGCACCGGCUAACUCUGUGCCAGCCGCCGCCGUAA
RNAcentral lists this ribosomal RNA (506 nucleotides) under uncultured bacterium. RNAcentral describes it as "partial 16S ribosomal RNA". It matches the Rfam family "Bacterial small subunit ribosomal RNA", at positions 30 to 523 of the family's 1533-position model. The record is from RNAcentral.